GGAUGUGAGGGCGUUCUGGCUACGACAUCAGUCACACCAUUGAUCGCCAGGGUUGAUUCAGCUGAUCUGGCUGGCUAGGCCGGUGUCCCCUUCCUCCCUCACCGCUCCAUGUGCGUCCCUUCCUCCCGAAUCCCUGAAUAGAGACAGGCCGGUCUUCGGUUGAGGGUAUAGGAGUAGCUGUGUUCCCCUCCAAACAAGCUCUCAAGAAUUUAUUUAUUUAUUUAUUUAUUUAUUUAUUAUUAUCUUUA
This 248-nucleotide small nuclear RNA is filed under the name Erinaceus europaeus (western European hedgehog). RNAcentral's name for it is "7SK RNA". It matches the Rfam family "7SK RNA". From Rfam's summary of the family: 7SK was discovered as an abundant small nuclear RNA in the mid-70s but a possible function has only recently been suggested. Two independent studies have found that 7SK RNA binds the CDK9/cyclin T complex (known as elongation factor P-TEFb). Lineage: Eukaryota; Metazoa; Chordata; Mammalia; Eulipotyphla; Erinaceidae. The record is from Rfam by way of RNAcentral.